UUCUCAUUAAUAAGUUGACAACGCAGCCAAUUAGACCCUGCCAAAUCACAGACAUGUCGAUUUGCACGGGACUAAUAUUAUCACAGGACGUCUGUGUUUGGCGAAAUAUGGUAGGUCAUUUGCAAGAGAAUUUUUACUUCACAAAUUACAGACAUGGCUGAUUCGCACGGCAUUAAGAUCACAGCCAACCUCCGUAAUUAUUACAAAUGACUAGAG
Molecule: long non-coding RNA, 216 nt
Organism: Sander lucioperca (pikeperch)
Lineage: Eukaryota; Metazoa; Chordata; Actinopteri; Perciformes; Percidae
Exons: 6
Source: RefSeq, a predicted model, not a curated record